UACGGAGGGGGCGAGCGUUAUUCGGAAUUAUUGGGCGUAAAGGGCGCGUAGGCGGCUGUACAAGUCAAAGGUGAAAUCCCUCGGCUCAACUGAGGAACUGCCCUUUGAAACUGUACGGCUUGAGGCCGGGAGGGGGUAGGCGGAAUUCCCAAAUGUAGCGGUGAAAAUGCGUAGAUAUUCGCAAGAACACCAGUGGCGAAGGCGGCUCACUGGCCCGGUACUGACGCUGAGGUGCGAAAG
RNAcentral lists this ribosomal RNA (240 nucleotides) under uncultured bacterium. Its description in RNAcentral is "partial 16S ribosomal RNA". It matches the Rfam family "Bacterial small subunit ribosomal RNA", at positions 524 to 759 of the family's 1533-position model. The record is from RNAcentral.